Molecule: transfer RNA, 71 nt
Filed under: Heloderma suspectum (Gila monster)
Lineage: Eukaryota; Metazoa; Chordata; Lepidosauria; Squamata; Helodermatidae
Description: tRNA-Phe
Rfam family: tRNA
About the family: Transfer RNA (tRNA) molecules are approximately 80 nucleotides in length. Their secondary structure includes four short double-helical elements and three loops (D, anti-codon, and T loops).
Source: RNAcentral
GUUAUUGUAGCUUAUCCUUAAAGCACGGCACUGAAAAUGCCAUGAUGGGAAUCUUCGAUUCUCCAAAAACA